Long non-coding RNA from Antechinus flavipes (yellow-footed antechinus), 976 nucleotides. RefSeq lists it as uncharacterized. NCBI's taxonomy places the organism in Eukaryota, Metazoa, Chordata, Mammalia, Dasyuromorphia, Dasyuridae. The record is from RefSeq and is a predicted model, not a curated record. The transcript is spliced from 3 exons.
UCUAGGAUUUGUCACCAAGGAAUCCCUCCAACCUAGGAGUGGGGAAUUCCCUCAUCAUUCUUGACUCCCAGAAGUUCCAGAUUGAACUUUUCUGCUUGAGAGAGAGGCAGGGAGGAAGAGACCCCAAGAGGGAACUGGGAAAAGGAAUAAGGUCACACCCAAUUGGGGAAGCUGCCCCUCCACCCUCUACCCUGUUUACCCAGAAAUAGGGUGGGUAACAAGUCACGUCGGACCCUUUGUAAUGCCAUCUGGAGUUUUCUUGGCAAAGAUAUUGGUGUGGUUUGUCAUUUCCUUCACCAUCUCAUUUUACAGUCCCUAGAAGUUCAUGGUGCACCUAGCUCCGGCCCUCCCUUUCCUACUGGGCUUCUCCUACUGAGUAUGGGGCAAGGUCAGCCCGGGGUAGCCAGAGCAGCAAUUAGCCCAGCUUGGCCGCCCGUUACUGGAACCUUCGUGUCAACUCUGGAACUCUUCCAAUAACCCACACCCUGAACAGCCUGACUCAGCUUGGGUUUGCUCCACCCCUUAACACCUGCUUAACAGAGACUUGAAAACCCCACCCCCACCUCCGGAGCCCGGGAUCCAAAGAAAGGUACUACUCAAGAAAACUACAACUCCCACCAUGCAUUAUUCUCUCCAGAUCCUACUCCCACUCUAACCCUCCACUCUCCCUCUGGGUGGACCCCUGAAGUUUACUUGGGGAUUUUUUGUGUAUGUGAGUGUGGUGUUAAUCUUUCCGUCCCAUUCUAUGGGCUAUGGGCUUCUGGGUAAUCCUGAAAGCUGGGGACUAGAAAAGGAAGCUCUUUGGGAGUGUUUCCUAUGGCAACCAGUCCAUAGAAUUUUAAAAUUUAGAACUGGAAGGGACUUUAAGGUCAACUAACCCUACUGGCUGGAGCUGUUGGUUUGCAUAAUAAAAGUUAUAGAUAGUACCUUUGUCUAAAGCUUUCACAUAAUAAAAAGACAGAUCGCAUUUAGAUAA